GUCUCUGAUGGAUUUCCCCACGCUGUUGCUAGGAGAUGAAGAUACUGCCUAACAAAGGAUAUAUUGACAACAAAAAAAUUUUCCAGAGCAAAUCUAUCUCGUUAUGGAGAAAGAAAAAGGAGCCAAGGAGAACGUCGUCCCCUUCAUUUCCCUACAUGCAUGGUUGGGACCGACAACUUGAACUUGUGCCAGCACUACUGCAUCCCUUCCUCCAAAGCCACACGUUGGGCUGGUGGCAUCUCCUGCCUGCAUCAGCUGGCCCAGGUGGCCACCAAGAUGCUUACAGUUUAGCCAAGCGUUAA
This 302-nucleotide long non-coding RNA is filed under the name Cairina moschata (Muscovy duck). RNAcentral's name for it is "domestica (muscovy Duck (domestic type)) lncRNA (ENSCMMG00000001431.1)". The record is from RNAcentral. Lineage: Eukaryota; Metazoa; Chordata; Aves; Anseriformes; Anatidae.